This 497-nucleotide ribosomal RNA is filed under the name uncultured bacterium. Its description in RNAcentral is "partial 16S ribosomal RNA". It matches the Rfam family "Bacterial small subunit ribosomal RNA", at positions 28 to 507 of the family's 1533-position model. The record is from RNAcentral.
GACGAACGCUGGCGGCGUGCCUAAUACAUGCAAGUAGAACGCUGAAGAGAGGAGCUUGCUCUUCUUGGUUGAGUUGCGAACGGGUGAGUAACGCGUAGGUAACCUGCCUUGUAGCGGGGGAUAACUAUUGGAAACGAUAGCUAAUACCGCAUAACAAUGGAUGACACAUGUCAUUUAUUUGAAAGGGGCAAUUGCUCCACUACAAGAUGGACCUGCGUUGUAUUAGCUAGUAGGUGAGGUAAUGGCUCACCUAGGCGACGAUACAUAGCCGACCUGAGAGGGUGAUCGGCCACACUGGGACUGAGACACGGCCCAGACUCCUACGGGAGGCAGCAGUAGGGAAUCUUCGGCAAUGGGGGCAACCCUGACCGAGCAACGCCGCGUGAGUGAAGAAGGUUUUCGGAUCGUAAAGCUCUGUUGUAAGUCAAGAACGGGUGUGAGAGUGGAAAGUUCACACUGUGACGGUAGCUUACCAGAAAGGGACGGCUAACUACGUG